GCGCGAGUGGCGAAAUCAGGUAGACGCGCCGGAUUUAGGUUUCGGUGUCUUCGGACGUGCGGGUUCGAGUCCCGCCUCGCGCA
RNAcentral lists this transfer RNA (83 nucleotides) under Isoptericola variabilis 225. RNAcentral describes it as "tRNA-Leu (TAG) (tRNA-Leu-TAG-1-1)". It matches the Rfam family "tRNA". Rfam says of the family: Transfer RNA (tRNA) molecules are approximately 80 nucleotides in length. Their secondary structure includes four short double-helical elements and three loops (D, anti-codon, and T loops). RNAcentral also lists the same sequence under 1 other name. The record is from Rfam by way of RNAcentral. Lineage: Bacteria; Bacillati; Actinomycetota; Actinomycetes; Micrococcales; Promicromonosporaceae.